This 147-nucleotide unclassified non-coding RNA is filed under the name uncultured fungus. RNAcentral's name for it is "sequence contains ITS1, 5.8S rRNA gene". The record is from RNAcentral. RNAcentral also lists the same sequence under 1 other name. Lineage: Eukaryota; Fungi.
CUGAGUGAGGGUCUUCCGACCCGACCUCCAACCCCAUGUAUUCCGACUCUGUUGCCUCGGGGGCGACCCUGCCUUCGGGCGUUGGGGCCCCCGGUGGACCACACAACUCUGCAUCUUUGCGUCUGAGUAACAUUUUGAAUUAAAUCA